This 484-nucleotide ribosomal RNA is filed under the name uncultured bacterium. RNAcentral describes it as "partial 16S ribosomal RNA". It matches the Rfam family "Bacterial small subunit ribosomal RNA", at positions 30 to 507 of the family's 1533-position model. The record is from RNAcentral.
AUUGAACGCUGGCGGCAGGCCUAACACAUGCAAGUCGAGCGGAUGAAGGGAGCUUGCUCCUGGAUUCAGCGGCGGACGGGUGAGUAAUGCCUAGGAAUCUGCCUGGUAGUGGGGGAUAACGUCCGGAAACGGGCGCUAAUACCGCAUACGUCCUGAGGGAGAAAGUGGGGGAUCUUCGGACCUCACGCGAUCAGAUGAGCCUAGGUCGGAUUAGCGAGUUGGUGGGGUAAAGGCCUACCAAGGCGACGAUCCGUAACUGGUCUGAGAGGAUGAUCAGUCACACUGGAACUGAGACACGGUCCAGACUCCUACGGGAGGCAGCAGUGGGGAAUAUUGGCCAAUGGGCGAAAGCCUGGUCCAGCCAUGCCGCGUGUGUGAAGAAGGUCUUCGGAUUGUAAAGCACUUUAAGUUGGGAGGAAGGGCAGUAAGUUAAUACCUUGCUGUUUUGACGUUACCAACAGAAUAAGCACCGGCUAACUUCGUG